This is a long non-coding RNA of Salvelinus fontinalis (brook trout), 1388 nucleotides long. RefSeq lists it as uncharacterized. The transcript has 3 exons. Lineage: Eukaryota; Metazoa; Chordata; Actinopteri; Salmoniformes; Salmonidae. The record is from RefSeq and is a predicted model, not a curated record.
GUUCUGGUCCAGUUGGAGCGACGCCUCGGCCAGGUAACUCACCUCCGCCGUGAUGGAGAACACGAGAACGGUGUUCAGAACGACGGGCAGUGAAAGAGAAAUUAUGUCUACCUGGUAUAUGGACGGUGUCGGGGAGAACCGAGAUGGUUAUACAAAACAGGGACCAGAACUUCUGCUACAGAGUGAGCACGGGAGGAUGAAGCUGCAGAGUAACCUUGUGGUGAAAGAAGAGCAGCGAUCUGGCACAUGAGCUGGACAUCAAACCAGGUAAGAACCAUUGCUUCAUACAAUCUAAACUUGCUUAACUGUACACUAACUAACAAUGAACCAGCAACUAAACCCAAGCUAACUGUCAACAUUGGCCACACUGGCCCUAGCUGACUGUUAAAUGUAAUUGUUGAACUCAAAUCUGUGUGUGUGUGUGUGUGUGUGUGUAAUGUAAUUUACAAAAUAGCCUCCAACACUACUCAGCAAAUUGGAUGUAGUCUAUCACAGUGCCAUCUGUUUUGUCACCAAAGCCCCAUAUACUACCCACCACUGUGUAAAGGUUUUCUUCCAGGGGUGAAGGAGAGGACCAAAAUGCAGCGCGACUAGUGUUAAACAUGUUUAAUACAAACACAAGUGAAACACUACAAACAACCUACAAAAUAACAAAUGUGCAAAACCGAUACAGACCUAUCUGGUGCAGAACACAAACACAGAGACAGGUAACAAACACCCACAAAAUCCCAACACAAAACAAGCCUCCUAUAUAUGUGUCUCAAUCAGAGACAACGACUACCAUCUGUCUCUGAUUGAGAACUCACACCAGGCUGACAUAGAAACAGACAAACUAGACACACAACAUAGAAUUCCCACCCAGCUCACGUCCUGACCAACUAAACACAUACAAAACAACAGAAAACAGGUCAGGAACAUGACAGAACCCCCCCCUCAAGGUGCGAACUCCGGGCGCACCCCUAAAACUCAAGGGGAGGGUCUGAGUGGGCAUCUGUCCGCGGUGGCGGCUCCGGCGGUGGACGAGGGCACCACUCCACCAUUGUCUUUGUCCACCUCCCUAGCGUCCCUUGAGUGGCGACCCUCGCCCCCGACCAUGGUCCAGGAACCUUCACCAACUCCCCUCUACAAUAGAGGAGACAACUCAGGACAGAGAGGUAGUUCAGGACAAAGAGGUAGCCCAGGACAGAGAGGUAGCUCAGGACAGAGGGACAACUCCGGACUGGAGGGCAGCUCAUGACUGGAGGGCAGCUCAUGACUGGAGGGCAGCUCAUGACUGGAGGGCAGCUCAUGACUGGAGGGCAGCUCAUGACUGGAGGGCAGCUCAUGACUGGAGGGCAGCCUUGUGGUGAAAGACUGGCUGGCGGCUCUGGCGGCUCCUGACUGGCUGG